GGGCUGCAGUGGGGAAUUUUGGACAAUGGGCGAAAGCCUGAUCCAGCAAUACCGCGUGCAGGAAGAAGGCCUUCGGGUUGUAAACUGCUUUUGUACGGAACGAAAAGGUCUGCCUUAAUACGGUGGGCUCAUGACGGUACCGUAAGAAUAAGCACCGGCUAACUACGUGCCAGCAGCCGCGGUAAUACGUAGGGUGCGAGCGUUAAUCGGAAUUACUGGGCGUAAAGCGUGCGCAGGCGGCUUUGUAAGACAGACGUGAAAUCCCCGGGCUCAACCUGGGAAUUGCGUUUGUGACUGCAAGGCUAGAGUACGGUAGAGGGGGGUAGAAUUCCGCGUGUAGCAGUGAAAUGCGUAGAUAUGCGGAGGAACACCGAUGGCGAAGGCAGCCCCCUGGACCUGUACUGACGCUCAUGCACGAAAGCGUGGGGAGCAAACAGGAUUAGAUACCCCAGUAGUC
Molecule: ribosomal RNA, 457 nt
Filed under: uncultured Comamonadaceae bacterium
Lineage: Bacteria; Pseudomonadati; Pseudomonadota; Betaproteobacteria; Burkholderiales; Comamonadaceae
Description: bacterial SSU rRNA
Rfam family: Bacterial small subunit ribosomal RNA
Source: RNAcentral